Small nucleolar RNA from Dioscorea cayenensis subsp. rotundata (Guinea yam), 107 nucleotides. Lineage: Eukaryota; Viridiplantae; Streptophyta; Magnoliopsida; Dioscoreales; Dioscoreaceae. The record is from RefSeq and is a predicted model, not a curated record.
AACCCAUGUUAAGAACAUCUCCGCAGGAGAUCCUUGAACAUGUCCCAUGUCUCAAAAAGAGACUAUAAUUGUGUUUGCACAAAAGAAGAUAUCUCAUUCCUAAGCUU